UUCAAUCAUUUAUCAAAGAUUCCAAGUAAUCCAACCACACAAUUCUACAGUUUCAACAAAUAUUCUUAUCUUCAAAGUAUGACAAGACAUUAGCAAAUAGAGGAAAAUUUCAAAAAGUUAAAAGCUAGGAGGUAGAUUUAGUUGACAAUUACAUUGAGCUUGGUCAUGUAGAUUUAGUUGGCUUCCUCUUGGUGUUAAUAUUGAACGUGCAAUUCAACAGAAUCUCUGAAAAUUCGUAGUCCAAAGAAAGUACUAAAAGCUUUUCUAUGUACAAUUACUUUCUUUUCAUCAUCCUUGAGAUAUUGUAGAUGUUAGUCUCCUCUUAAGCUCCAUCAUGCACCAUGCAGAAGAACCAUAUGGAAUAAAACAUAAAAAUAAUAAAUAACCAAAUGUAUAAAUCUCCUUUUAAAAAAAAUAUAUUUAUUAGUAAUUUUUUUGUCUUCAAUAAUUAUACUAGUAGGUGAAUUACCUCAUGAGUUGUUUGUCAAGUGUUGAAGUAGAUAACACCCCUUUGUUCUCUUCGGCUGUUCUUAAAAGGUAAGGGAUAAUCUGUUCCAAAGGUCCAAAUGGCAAAUAUUUGCUCACAUCAAAUCCUGCAUUUCUCAAACCAUAACUCAUAGCUUCUGCAUGUAUCAUAGACACAAAAAGUUAAAAGCUAGGAGAUACGACCUACAAAGUGGUUGCUGCUGGAAGAUGACAUGGAACCUUUCAUUUUCAAGUCACCACUAUGAGAUAGAUGUUGUUCCU
This 747-nucleotide long non-coding RNA is filed under the name Panax ginseng (ginseng). Its description in RNAcentral is "long non-coding RNA (PGIN_LNC004860)". The record is from RNAcentral. Lineage: Eukaryota; Viridiplantae; Streptophyta; Magnoliopsida; Apiales; Araliaceae.